GACCUUCUUCGGAGGGUAUGCUUAAAGAGGGGCUUGCGCCACAUUAGUUAGUUGGUGAGGUAAAGGCUUACCAAGAUUAUGAUGUGUAGCUGGACUGAGAGGUUGAACAGCCACAUUGGGACUGAGACACGGCCCAAACUCCUACGGGAGGCAGCAGUAGGGAAUUUUCGGCAAUGGAGGAAACUCUGACCGAGCGACGCCGCGUGAACGAUGAAGUAUUUCGGUAUGUAAAGUUCUUUUAUUGAAGAAGAAAAAAUAGUGGAAAAACUAUCUUGACGUUAUUCAAUGAAUAAGCCCCGGCUAACUAUGUGCCAGCAGCCGCGGUAAGACAUAGGGGGCGAGCGUUAUCCGGAAUUAUUGGGCGUAAAGGGUGCGUAGGCGGUUAGAUAAGUCUAUAAUUUAAUUUCAGUGCUUAACGCUGUCUUGUUAUAGAAACUGUCUUGACUAGAGUGAGAUAGAGGCAAGCGGAAUUCCAUGUGUAGCGGUAAAAUGUGUAAAUAUAUGGAGGAACACCAGAAGCGUAGGCGGCUUGCUGGGUCUUUACUGACGCUGAGGCACGAAAGCGUGGGGAGCAAACAGGAUUAGAUACCCUGGUAGUCCACGCUGUAAACGAUGAGUACUAAGUGUCGGGGUAACUCGGUACUGAAGUUAACACAUUAAGUACUCCGCCUGAGUAGUACGUACGCAAGUAUGAAACUUAAAGGAAUUGACGGGACUCCGCACAAGCGGUGGAUCAUGUUGUUUAAUUCGAAGAUACACGAAAAACCUUACCAGGUCUUGACAUACUCUGCAAAGCUAUAGAAAUAUAGUGGAGGUUAUCAGGGAUACAGGUGGUGCAUGGUUGUCGUCAGUUCGUGUCGUGAGAUGUUAGGUUAAGUCCUAAAACGAACGCAACCCCUGUCGCUAGUUGCCAGCACGUAAUGGUGGGGACUUUAGCGAGACUGCCAAUUAAACAUUGGAGGAAGGUGGGGAUAACGUCAAAUCAUCAUGCCCCUUAUGAUCUGGGCUACAAACGUGAUACAAUGGCUAUUACAAAGAGUAGCUGAAACGCGAGUUUUUAGCCAAUCUCAAAAAGGUAGUCUCAGUACGGAUUGAAGUCUGCAA
RNAcentral lists this ribosomal RNA (1104 nucleotides) under Candidatus Phytoplasma vitis. RNAcentral's name for it is "bacterial SSU rRNA". It matches the Rfam family "Bacterial small subunit ribosomal RNA", at positions 173 to 1310 of the family's 1533-position model. The record is from RNAcentral. Lineage: Bacteria; Bacillati; Mycoplasmatota; Mollicutes; Acholeplasmatales; Acholeplasmataceae.